Non-coding RNA from Carica papaya (papaya), 1794 nucleotides. Lineage: Eukaryota; Viridiplantae; Streptophyta; Magnoliopsida; Brassicales; Caricaceae. The record is from RefSeq and is a predicted model, not a curated record.
AUUUAUGAAUAAUGAAACAAAGUGAAAAGGAAAACCCAAAACGCUGUCGCAUUGGGAUAGAAUAGACACUCUUAAACCCCAGGGGUUUGUUUCAGAGACGAUUGAAUGAUUCAUUACACAGUACACGCAGAGAAGACAAAGUGAAGGAGAAAAGAGAAAAAGAGAGAGAAAUGGAAGAACUAAGGAAGCUGGAACAAGUGCAGAAGAUAUUAUCCCUCAUGCAAUCUUGUAGUUUGCUCUCUUCUUCCACCUCUUCCAACAACGACCAAAGUCGCUUCAUUGCUAAUCUAAUCCUCCUCAUGGUACAACCUUCCGGCGAACUUGAUAUGGUCAAGAAGCUCUCUUUGGUUUCCGAGUAUCUACCGAAAAUAUCAGUUGAGUUCCUUGAGGAGGCAUCAACAUGGCUUGGUCCAGAACAUGGAUCACAGAACAAGAAUACAGAUCUGAUGGGCCAUAGUUCAUCGGCACCUAAUCAUGAAGAUGUAGCAAUGGUGGGGUUGGAUGCCAUGCAAAGGGCAAAUUCUACUCUUGAAGAUUUUUGCAGAUCUUAUUUUAUGUUUCACGGAAUGGAUAUAAACAAUCCACAUUCAAUAUUCAAAUAUUUGCCUGUGCUUUCAUUCACCGAAAGUUACAUUUAUCAGCUGGAUAGUUUGAAUGAGAAGAUGAUGAGUGUAAGAGCCAGCCAUGAUGUUUUAGAAAGAGAGCAUGAAAUGGUGCAGGAAACAAAUCAGAGCUGGAUUGCUAAGUUCAUGGCUUCAUUCGAAACUAGUCCAUUCCGACCACUCGAAGUUUUGCUUAAAUGUAAUGGCCUUUUGACUGAGAGGAUUGUACAAGAGCUUAAGUCUGGGGAAGAAUACUGGGCACUAGAAAGAAAGCUUUGCAGUGCACUAGUGAGCAAACAGGAGAUCUGUUUUGAAGAUGUGAUGAGGGCAAUUCGCUUGAAGUCCUUUGAUUAUCGGGUGCUGAAUCUUCUUUUAUUCCAGUUGAGAGGAGAAGAGGUGAAUGACUUGCAUAUGGAAUUUUUAUCAAUCUCAGAAUUCCUGGUAGAGGUCUCUGAUGAUCUAUUUGAUUACGAGGAUGAUGUGUUAGAGAAUAAUUUCAACAUUUUACGCAUGUUUGUCAAAAUAUUUGGGCCAUCACCGGCUCCAGCCAUGCUGGGAAAAUUGUUUUCUUUCAGGCUAAGUAUAUAACUGAGGCGGAAGACAAAUAUGACAGUCUGAUGAAAACCUUGGAACCCCAGCUGUCCUUAAAAUAUCAAAGGAGAUGUGAAGAAGCCACCAAAGAAGGUGGGAAGAUGUCUGGACAUCCUCUUGGGACAUGGAAUAUACCACCUGUAAUUGUAGAUGAGGAAUUUUACCGAUCCAACUUGUUAAGCAAUUAGUGAAUCUCCGUGCCCUCGUGUUGAAACUUUUGGUUCGAAUAUAUUUACACCUAGGAUCUCACUUGAUUGCAGCAUGGCAAACGGAGUCUUUAAUGUUACACGUCUCGUUACUCUGGAGCAAUAGGUUUCACUACCAAUUAUGCCAUGUCCGAGAUUGAGAUCUAUGCUUGAAUAUUAGAUAGCUCCGGAAUCAAACAGUUCAAAAUGAUUUAGUUAUUAUUUAGAGUUCUUUUCUCUUGCUCGCAGACAAUUUGCCAGUGAAAUUGAAUUCUCUUGGAUACUACUCUACGGGAUAUUCGUUGUACUCAUGAGAACUUGUAAUGCAACGCUUAACUGCAUUCUACACUAAUUUAGUACUGGAUAACUGUGAUUAUACAUAUUCUUCUACUGUUAUUGAGUAAAUUACAUCUCAA